CCGUUCCCAUCCCGAACACGGAAGUUAAGCUCUUCAGCGCCGAUGGUACUGCACGGGAAGCUGUGUGGGAGAGUAGGACGCUGCCGAAA
This 89-nucleotide ribosomal RNA is filed under the name Desulfosarcina sp. Lineage: Bacteria; Pseudomonadati; Thermodesulfobacteriota; Desulfobacteria; Desulfobacterales; Desulfosarcinaceae. The record is from RNAcentral.